This 355-nucleotide ribosomal RNA is filed under the name Cantharellus aff. cibarius 173-827. RNAcentral's name for it is "eukaryotic LSU rRNA". The stretch from base 1 to 146 matches the Rfam family "5.8S ribosomal RNA", at positions 50 to 154 of the family's 154-position model. The record is from RNAcentral. Lineage: Eukaryota; Fungi; Basidiomycota; Agaricomycetes; Cantharellales; Hydnaceae.
GAACUGCGAUAACUGGUGUGAGUUGCACGCUUCUCUAAUCUAACACCAAGCGAAUCAUCGAGUCUUUGAACGCAAACGGCACCCUUCCAGUCCAUUCCAAAGCGGUGGCGGCGGAUGAAGACAAGGGUAUCUCUGGUUGAGUGCAAUGAAACUUGAUCCAGGUCGACGUUGUUGGCUCUGGGGAUUGAGCUUGCUCGCUUCGUGUGGGCUUGCUUCAAAAUCAUUGCGUGACGGUUGGGCUUUACGAACUGUAGGAAAUAUCGUGCAGCAUCGUUUGGGCCUCAACAAGAGCGACUAACAUACAUAUCUUUGUACGCGUUGCCUCAGAUCAGAGAAGACUACCCGCUGGACUUAA